This 491-nucleotide ribosomal RNA is filed under the name uncultured bacterium. RNAcentral's name for it is "partial 16S ribosomal RNA". It matches the Rfam family "Bacterial small subunit ribosomal RNA", at positions 28 to 506 of the family's 1533-position model. The record is from RNAcentral.
GAUGAACGCUAGCUACAGGCUUAACACAUGCAAGUCGAGGGGAAACGACAUCGUAAGCUUGCUUUUGAUGGGCGUCGACCGGCGCACGGGUGAGUAACCCGUAUCCAACCUGCCCAUCACUUGGGAAUAACCUUGCGAAAGUAAGACUAAUACCCAAUGACAUCCCACGAAGACAUCUGAAUGGGAUUAAAGAUUUAUCGGUAAUGGAUGGGGAUGCGUCUGAUUAGGUUGUUGGCGGGGUCACGGCCCACCAAGGCAACGAUCAGUAGGGGUUCUGAGAGGAAGGUCACUGGAAUUGGGACUGGGACCAGGUCCAAACGCCUACGGGAGGCAGGAGUGAGGGGAAUUGGUGAAAGGGCGUGAGCCAGAAACAGCGAAGUAGCGAGGAGGAUGUUGGGACUAUGAGUUGUAAAAUGCUUUUAUAAAGGAAUAAAAGGGGUUACGUGAGAGUUUUGGCAUGAACAAUAAGAAUAAGGACCGGCUAAUUCCGU